GUUUCCACCCAUCUUCCUUUCCCCUUCAUUUCUAAAUCUAGCGUUUAUAAAUUUCUUGUCUUGGAAUAGUCUACCACACGCUCACAAAAUAUACAUAUCUUGUAUUUUGCUCUCACUAAUUACCUUGUUCAAACUCAUUUGCACAAGUGUCGUCCCUUACCACUUAUCAUGGCUUCUGCUUCUUCAUCAACCCGUCCCUGCAAAUAUGAUGUUUUUAUUAGUUUUAGAGGCAAAGAUGUCCGUCUUGGUUUUCUCUCUCAUCUCUGUACUGCUUUGCAGCAAAAACAAAUCAAUGCUUUCUUGGAUGAAGAACUUCAUAAAGGAGAAGAGAUCUCAUCAGCUCUCUUAAAAAUAAUUGAAGAAUCCAUUGUCUCAAUUGUCAUUUUCUCUGAAAAUUAUGCAAAUUCUCCAUGGUGCUUGGAUGAGCUUGUGAAGAUACUCGAAUGCAAGGAAACUUUAGGACAAAUGGUCCUACCAGUUUUUUAUGAAGUAGAUCCAACUGACGUUCAAGAGCUGACAGGGAAUUUCGGAAAGGCAUUUGAUAUUGCUGAGCGUGGAGAACGAGGCAGUUUACAAAAGGUGGACAAAUGGAGGCGUGCUUUGAGGGAAUUAAGCAGCUUAUCAGGAUGGGAUUCGCGGAAUAUCAAGCAUGAGUCCAAAUUAGUUGAGGAAAUCGUCAAUGAUGUUUUGAAGAAAUUUAGUAGUAUGUCUUCAAGUGAUGAUUCUUACGAUCGUAACUUGGUUGGAAUUGAAUCACGUGUGAAAAAAGUGGAACAAUUGUUAAAUGAUAAGACAGUUGUAGGAAUUUGGGGGAUGCCAGGCAUUGGUAAAACAACUAUUGC
Molecule: unclassified non-coding RNA, 842 nt
Filed under: Hevea brasiliensis (rubber tree)
Lineage: Eukaryota; Viridiplantae; Streptophyta; Magnoliopsida; Malpighiales; Euphorbiaceae
Source: RNAcentral